GAAAUGCGAUAAGUAAUGUGAAUUGUAGAAUUCAGUGAAUCAUCGAAUCUUUGAACGCACAUUGCGCCCGCCAGUAUUCUGGCGGGCAUGCCUGUUCGAGCGUCAUUUCCACCAUCAGGCCCCCGGGCCUGUGUUGGGGACCUGCGGCUGCCCGCAGGCCCCGAAAUUCAGUGGCGGUCGCGCCGUAGCAACCGAGCGUAGUAACUAAAACGUCUCGCUCUGGCUCGCUGGGCGCGCUCCGGCCGUAAAACACCCCCCCUUUUCGCAAAGGUUGACCUCGGAUCAGGUAGGAAUACCCGCUGAACUUAAGC
This 311-nucleotide unclassified non-coding RNA is filed under the name plant metagenome. Its description in RNAcentral is "partial contains 5.8S ribosomal RNA, internal transcribed spacer 2, and large subunit ribosomal RNA". The stretch from base 1 to 105 matches the Rfam family "5.8S ribosomal RNA", at positions 50 to 154 of the family's 154-position model. The record is from RNAcentral.